This is a ribosomal RNA of Astyanax mexicanus (Mexican tetra), 1778 nucleotides long. It matches the Rfam family "Eukaryotic small subunit ribosomal RNA". Lineage: Eukaryota; Metazoa; Chordata; Actinopteri; Characiformes; Acestrorhamphidae. The record is from Rfam.
AACCUGGUUGAUCCUGUCAGUAACAUAUGCUUGUCUCAAAGAUUAAGCCAUGCAGGUCUAAGUGCACACGGAAGGUACAGUGAAACUGCGAAUGGCUCAUUAAAUCAGUUAUGGUUCCUUUGAUCGCUCCACACGUUACUCGGAUAACUGUGGUAAUUCCAGAGCUAAUACAUGCAAACGAGCGCUGACAGUCCUCUCUCGGGGGGGCCGGGAUGCGUGCAUUUAUCAGACCCAAAACCCACCCGGGGGACCCGCGAGGGUUUCCCCCGGCCCUUUGGUGACUCUAGAUAACCUCGUCGAUUCGCGCGCCACCGCGGCGGCGACGUUCAUUCGAUGUCCUGCCUAUCAAGCUGUCCCGAUGGUAGCAUAGGGGGCUACCAUGGUGACCACGGGUAACGGGGAAUCAGGGUUCGAUUCCGGAGAGGGAGCCUGAGAAAUGGCUACCACAUCCAAGGAAGGCAGCAGGCGCGCAAAUUACCCAUUACCGACACGGUGAGGUAGUGACGAAAAAUAACGAUGCAGGUCUCUUUCGAGGCCCUGUAAUCGGAAUGAACGUAUCCUAAACACAUGGGUGAGGACCCAUUGGAUGGCAAGUCUGGUGCCAGCAGCCGCGGUAAUUCCAGCUCCAAUAGCGUAUAUUAAAUUUGCUGCAGUUAAAAAGCUCGUAGUUGGACUUCGGGAGACCCUGCCUCCCGGCGCCCCCCGGAUGCCCUUGGUUGGGUAUCCGGUCCUCAGGGGUCCGGAGCGUUUACUUUGAAAAAAUCAGAGUGUUCAAAGCGGGCACCAAACUCGCCUGAAUGCCUGAGCUAGGAAUAAUGGAAUAGGACUCCGGUUCUAUUUUGUGGGUUUCCUGAACCAGGGCCAUGAUUAAGAGGGACGGCCGGGGGCAUUCGUAUUGCGCCGCUAGAGGUGAAAUUCUUGGACCGGCGCAAGACGGACGAAAGCGAAAGCAUUUGCCAAGAAUGUUUUCAUUAAUCAAGAACGAAAGUCGGAGGUUCGAAGACGAUCAGAUACCGUCGUAGUUCUGACCGUAAACUAUGCCAACCCGCGAUCCGGCGGCGUUAUUCCCAUGACCCGCCGGGCAGCGUGCGGGGAAACCAGAGUCUUUGGGUUCCGGGGGGAGUAUGGUUGCAAAACUGAAACUUAAAGGAAUUGACGGAAGGGCACCACCAGGAGUGGAGCCUGCGGCUUAAUUUGACUCAACACGGGGAACCUCACCCGGCCCGGACACGGAAAGGAUUGACAGACUGAUGGCUCUUUUCUCGAUUCUGUGGGUGGUGGUGCAUGGCGUUCUUAGUUGGUGGAGUGAUUUGUCUGGUUAAUUCCGAUAACGAACGAGAUUCCUUCGUGCUAAAUAGUUAUCGCCGGCCACCCCGCGGAUCGGGUAACUUCUUAGAGGGACCAGUGGCGUAUAGCACGCGAAGAUGGAGCAAUAACAGGUCUGUGAUGCCCUUAGAUGUCAGGGGCUGCACGCGCGCCACAAUGGCCGGGCCAGCGUGUGGCCUACCCUACGCCGAGAGGCGCGGGUAAUCCGCUUAAACCCGUUCGUGACGGGGAUUGGGAUCUGCAAUUAUUCCCCACAUGAAUGAGGAAUUCCCAGUAAGUGCGGGUCAUCAGCUCGCGCUGAUUAAGUCCCUGCCCUUUGUACACACCGCCGUUCGUAACUGACCGAUUGGAUGGUUAUGUGAGGUCCUCGGAUCGGCCACGCCGAACUAUCAUCUAGAGGAAGUAAAAGUCGUAACAAGGUUUCUGUAGGUGAACCUGCGGAAGGAUCAUUA